RNAcentral lists this ribosomal RNA (253 nucleotides) under uncultured bacterium. RNAcentral describes it as "partial 16S ribosomal RNA". It matches the Rfam family "Bacterial small subunit ribosomal RNA", at positions 524 to 776 of the family's 1533-position model. The record is from RNAcentral.
UACGUAGGGUGCGAGCGUUAAUCGGAAUUACUGGGCGUAAAGCGUGCGCAGGCGGUUCGUUGUGUCGGCGGUGAAAGCCCCGGGCUUAACCUGGGAAUGGCCGUCGAAACUGGCGAACUGGAGUGUGGCAGAGGGGGGUGGAAUUCCGCGUGUAGCAGUGAAAUGCGUAGAGAUGCGGAGGAACACCGAUGGCGAAGGCAGCCCCCUGGGCUGACACUGACGCUCAGGCACGAAAGCGUGGGGAUCAAACAGG